GACGGAGGAGGCUAGCGUUGUUCGGAAUUACUGGGCGUAAAGCGUGCGCAGGUUGUGAGAUCAGUUGGAUGUGAAAGCCCGGGGCUUAACCUCGGAUGUGCAUCCAAUACUGUCUCGCUGGAGGUUGGAAGAGGAGAGUGGAAUUCCCAGUGUAGAGGUGAAAUUCGUAGAUAUUGGGAAGAACACCAGUGGCGAAGGCGGCUCUCUGGUCCAUACCUGACACUCAUGCACGAAAGCGUGGGGAGCAAACAGG
Molecule: ribosomal RNA, 253 nt
Filed under: uncultured bacterium
Lineage: Bacteria
Description: partial 16S ribosomal RNA
Rfam family: Bacterial small subunit ribosomal RNA
Source: RNAcentral